CAAAUUAGAGCUUGAUUAAAGUAUUUCAUUUACAUUGAAAAGAUAUUAUAUUAUAAUUAAUUUGA
RNAcentral lists this transfer RNA (65 nucleotides) under Hypermnestra helios (desert apollo). RNAcentral's name for it is "trnA-Val". Lineage: Eukaryota; Metazoa; Arthropoda; Insecta; Lepidoptera; Papilionidae. The record is from RNAcentral.